UACGUAGGGUGCGAGCGUUGUCCGGAAUUAUUGGGCGUAAAGGGCUCGUAGGCGGUUUGUCGCGUCGGGAGUGAAAACUCAGGGCUUAACCCUGAGCCUGCUUCCGAUACGGGCAGACUAGAGGUAUGCAGGGAGAGCGGAAUUCCUGGUGUAGCGGUGAAAUGCGCAGAUAUCAGGAGGAACACCGGUGGCGAAGGCGGUUCUCUGGGCAUUACCUGACGCUGGAGGAAGCGAA
RNAcentral lists this ribosomal RNA (235 nucleotides) under uncultured bacterium. RNAcentral describes it as "partial 16S ribosomal RNA". It matches the Rfam family "Bacterial small subunit ribosomal RNA", at positions 524 to 757 of the family's 1533-position model. The record is from RNAcentral.